UACGAAGGGGGCUAGCGUUGUUCGGAUUUACUGGGCGUAAAGCGCACGUAGGCGGACUAUUAAGUCAGGGGUGAAAUCCCCCGGCUUAACCUGGGAACUGCGUCUGAUACUGGAAGGCUUGAGGAUGGGAGAGGGAUGUAGAAUUCCAGGUGUAGCGGUGAAAUGCGUAGAUAUCUGGAGGAAUACCGGUGGCGAAGGCGGCAUCCUGGGCCAUUACUGACGCUGAGGCGCGAAAGCUAGGGGAGCAAACGGG
This 253-nucleotide ribosomal RNA is filed under the name uncultured bacterium. RNAcentral's name for it is "partial 16S ribosomal RNA". It matches the Rfam family "Bacterial small subunit ribosomal RNA", at positions 524 to 776 of the family's 1533-position model. The record is from RNAcentral.